UACCAGCUCUCUGAGUGGUGGGGACGCUUAUUGGGCCUAAAGCAUCCGUAGCCGGCUGGGCAAGUCCUCCGUUAAAUCCAACGAUUCAAUCGUUGGCCUGCAGGGGAUACUGUCUGGCUAGGAGGCGGUAGAGGCCGACGGUAUUUCCGGGGUAGGGGUGAAAUCCUAUAACCCCGGGAGGACCAUCAGUGGCGAAGGCUGUCGGCUGGAACGCGCUCGACGGUGAGGGAUGAAAGCUGGGGGAGCGAACCGGAUUAGAUACCCGGGUAGUCCCAGCUGUAAACUUUGCAGGCUGGGUGUUGGUGCGGCUACGUGCCGCUCCGGUGCCGUAGGGAAACCGUUAAGCCUGCCGCCUGGGAAGUACGGUCGCAAGGCUGAAACUUAAAGGAAUUGGCGGGGGAGCACCGACAAGGGGUGAAGCUUGCGGUUU
This 430-nucleotide ribosomal RNA is filed under the name uncultured archaeon. Its description in RNAcentral is "bacterial SSU rRNA". It matches the Rfam family "Archaeal small subunit ribosomal RNA", at positions 474 to 903 of the family's 1478-position model. The record is from RNAcentral.